Molecule: ribosomal RNA, 1240 nt
Filed under: Oligosporidium occidentalis
Lineage: Eukaryota; Fungi; Microsporidia
Description: partial small subunit ribosomal RNA
Rfam family: Microsporidia small subunit ribosomal RNA
Source: RNAcentral
CACCAGGUUGAUUCUGCCUGACGUAGACGCUAUUCCCUAAGAUUAACCCAUGCAUGUUCUUGACGAUUAUAUCUGAAAGAUGGACUGCUCAGUAAUACUCACUUUAUUUUAUGUAUACAGCAUGUAACUACGUUAAAGUGUAGAUAAUACGUGUACAGUAAGAGUGAGACCUAUCAGCUAGUUGUUAAGGUAAUGGCUUAACAAGGCAGUAACGGGUAACGGUAUUACUUUGUAAUAUUCCGGAGAAGGAGCCUGAGAGACGGCUACUAAGUCUAAGGAUUGCAGCAGGGGCGAAACUUGACCUAUGGAUUGUUUCUGAGGCAGUUAUGGGAAGUAAUUUAUAUUGUUUCAUAUUUUAAACGUAUAUGAGGUGAUUAAUUGGAGGGCAAAUCAAGUGCCAGCAGCCGCGGUAAUACUUGUUCCAAGAGUGUGUAUGAUGAUUGAUGCAGUUAAAAAGUCCGUAGUUUAUGGUUAAGAAGCAAUAUGAGGUGUACUGUAUAGUUGGGAGAGAGAUGAAAUGUGACGACCCUGACUGGACGAACAGAAGCGAAAGCUGUACACUUGUAUGUAUUUUUUGAACAAGGACGUAAGCUGGAGGAUCGAAGAUGAUUAGAUACCAUUGUAGUUCCAGCAGUAAACUAUGCCGACGAUGUGAUAUGAAUAUUCGUAUUACAUAAUAGAAAUUAGAGUUUUUUGGCUCUGGGGAUAGUAUGAUCGCAAGAUUGAAAAUUAAAGAAAUUGACGGAAGAAUACCACAAGGAGUGGAUUGUGCGGCUUAAUUUGACUCAACGCGAGGUAACUUACCAAUAUUUUAUUAUUCUGAGAGAAUACGAUUCGAGAAUGAUAAUAGUGGUGCAUGGCCGUUUUCAAUGGAUGCUGUGAAGUUUUGAUUAAUUUCAACAAGACGUGAGACCCUUUUGUAUAGACAGACACAAUCAGUGUAGGAAGGAAAGGAUUAAAACAGGUCCGUUAUGCCCUCAGACAUUUUGGGCUGCACGCGCAAUACAAUAGAUAUAGAAUCUUUAUGGGAUAAUAUUUUGUAAGAGAUAUUUGAACGUGGAAUUGCUAGUAAAUUUUAUUAAAUAAGUAGAAUUGAAUGUGUCCCUGUUCUUUGUACACACCGCCCGUCGCUAUCUAAGAUGAUAUAUGCUGUGAAAUUAGUGCAAACUACUUGAACAGUAUGUAUUAGAUCUGAUAUAAGUCGUAACAUGGUUGCUGUUGGAGAACCAUUAGCAGGAUC